GUAGGGAAUCUUGCGCAAUGGGCGAAAGCCUGACGCAGCCAUGCCGCGUGAAUGAUGAAGGUCUUAGGAUUGUAAAAUUCUUUCACCGGGGACGAUAAUGACGGUACCCGGAGAAGAAGCUCCGGCUAACUUCGUGCCAGCAGCCGCGGUAAUACGAAGGGGGCUAGCGUUGAUCGGAAUUACUGGGCGUAAAGGGCGCGUAGGCGGAUAUUUAAGUCGGGGGUGAAAGCCCGGGGCUCAACCUCGGAAUAGCCUUCGAUACUGGAUAUCUUGAGUACGGGAGAGGUGUGUGGAACUCCGAGUGUAGAGGUGAAAUUCGUAGAUAUUCGGAAGAACACCAGUGGCGAAGGCGACACACUGGCCCGUUACUGACGCUGAGGCGCGAAAGCGUGGGGAGCAAACAGGAUUAGAAACCCCUGUAGUCC
Molecule: ribosomal RNA, 425 nt
Filed under: uncultured bacterium
Lineage: Bacteria
Description: partial 16S ribosomal RNA
Rfam family: Bacterial small subunit ribosomal RNA
Source: RNAcentral